Molecule: ribosomal RNA, 255 nt
Filed under: uncultured bacterium
Lineage: Bacteria
Description: partial 16S ribosomal RNA
Rfam family: Bacterial small subunit ribosomal RNA
Source: RNAcentral
UACGAAGGGGGCUAGCGUUGCUCGGAUUGACUGGGCGUAAAGAGUGCGUAGGCGGUUCGUUAUGUCUGCUGUGAAAGCCCCGGGCUUAACCCGGGAAUGGCAGUGGAAACUGGCGGGCUUGAGUGUGGCAGAGGGGGGGUGGAAUUCCGCGUGUAGCAGUGAAAUGCGUAGAGAUGCGGAGGAACACCGAUGGCGAAGGCAGCCCCCUGGGCUAACACUGACGCUGGAGGCACGAAAGCGUGGGGAGCAAACAGG